UUACGGGAGGCAGCAGUAAGGAAUAUUGGUCAAUGGACGCAAGUCUGAACCAGCCAUGCCGCGUGAAGGAUGAAGGUCCUCUGGAUUGUAAACUUCUUUUAUAUGGGAAGAAAUCCAUCUUUUCUUGGGUGGUUGACGGUACCAUAGGAAUAAGCACCGGCUAACUCCGUGCCAGCAGCCGCGGUAAUACGGAGGGUGCAAGCGUUAUCCGGAUUCACUGGGUUUAAAGGGUGCGUAGGAGGGCAGGUAAGUCAGUGGUGAAAUCUCCAAGCUUAACUUGGAAACUGCCGUUGAUACUAUCUGUCUUGAAUACCGUGGAGGUGAGCGGAAUAUGUCAUGUAGCGGUGAAAUGCUUAGAUAUGACAUAGAACACCAAUUGCGAAGGCAGCUCGCUACACGAAUAUUGACUCUGAGGCACGAAAGCGUGGGGAUCAAACAGGCUUAGAUACCCUGGUAGU
Molecule: ribosomal RNA, 458 nt
Filed under: uncultured bacterium
Lineage: Bacteria
Description: bacterial SSU rRNA
Rfam family: Bacterial small subunit ribosomal RNA
Source: RNAcentral